GUGCAAAAGGCAAGAAGAAAGUUGACAGGCAUGUUAUGAAUUGAUAACCAAGACAAUGAUGAAGUUAAAGAUGACCCUGACCCACAAGACUUUGUGAAGUUGAAUUAGAUUUUAGAUACAUAGCGACCUAAUAUACACCAAAGAUACAUAAAAUAGAAGCGUAUGAUGACGAAACAUAUGGAAAAUUCAUGGCUUUACAAAUUAAUUACGAACUUCUUUCUAGCAACAAGAUAAUAGACUAAAAAGUUUAAAUCUACCCCCUCUUCCUUUUAUGCUGGAACAGCUUCAACAAGCCUCGCAAAAUAAAAUUGUGUAGUGAUCAGGCCUCUCUUUCUUAUCCUCCACCCAACCUUCUUCAAUGCUCUCUCCACAUCCGCCUCUGCAUGUAGAUAUGCUCUCGUUGCCUUUGAAGGCCCGGGAAACAACUCCCCUACUCUCUUUAAUAGAUCAUAGUAAAAUGUCCUUGGUGCAAAACUCAAAAUCAGUCGAUUCUCUGCCAAAGAUGCAAGAUGGGCAAUCAUCCCAUCUGCUUUACUCUGUGGGUAAUGUAUCAAAACGUCUAGGCAUACUACAGUUUCAUACUUCCCAUCUAAGCUCUCUAGAUCCUUCACUUCAAAUUUCGGCAACACAGGUGCCGCAUUUUCACCGACUGCUAAAAGCUGCUCUUUUGCUUGCUUCUCAGCCUCCGCCACCAUAGCAGCCGAGAUGUCGCUUGCGGAAACAAUCGCUCCUUCUUUGGCCAAGGGAAUCGCCAGAGACCCUGUACCACAACCUGCGUCACAAACAGUGACUCCUUCCAGUGAACCUUUGUCUUUCAACAUCUUCAACACAUUCUCCACCGUCUUCGAGUGGCCCAGCCUAAUGUCGAGCUGUACCCGAUUAACAUCAUCCGUCUCUCCGUAAAUCUUCUUCCACCGCUGGAAUCCGGAAUUGUUGAAGUACUCUUUAACCACCUCCUUAUCGCCGCCCCCGACUUCCUCAGCCUGGAGUCGGCGCCGACGCUCGGGGUCCGUAAGGGAGAGAGCGGCGGCUAACGCAGCAACAGAGCCUCCACCAAUGACGGCGAGGGUAGGGCCAUCAAAUAAGGAUAGGUCGGUGGCGGAGGCCGUGCUGAGGGAAGUAAUGGAGGCUACGGUUACGGUUCUGGUCGUUUUUGGUUUGGAAGAAAGACGAGAGAAUCUAGGUUUGGUAGCGCGGAAGGUAGUUGGAGCGAAUAGGGGCGACGCAUACGCCAUUUUAGUAUUUCUCUCUCCGGCCGGCGAGGAGAGAGCAGCCAGACACUUGAAGAUUGGGGAGGUAGUUAAUUGGUAGUGUUCU
RNAcentral lists this unclassified non-coding RNA (1317 nucleotides) under Hevea brasiliensis (rubber tree). The record is from RNAcentral. Lineage: Eukaryota; Viridiplantae; Streptophyta; Magnoliopsida; Malpighiales; Euphorbiaceae.